Camelina sativa (false flax) is the source of this 994-nucleotide non-coding RNA. The record is from RefSeq and is a predicted model, not a curated record. Lineage: Eukaryota; Viridiplantae; Streptophyta; Magnoliopsida; Brassicales; Brassicaceae.
GAUUAUGAUUACAGUAAAUCAAAUUACAUAUUACUACCUUAAUGGGUUUCAAUUCUGAUUAAUAUUGUUUUCAUUCUGAGUAAUUCUUAGAAUUCGUUUUCAUAAAUUUUUUCAAGUCGAUCGAUAUAUUUCCUCCAGCAAUGCCUGUAAAUUAUAUAUGAAUUGAAGCUUCAAUUUUUAACUGUUUCUUUGGUUCAUUUUCUCAUUAUUGUUUACAAAUGGCAUCAAGCAAUUCAAGACUGGCUUUCGGAUUCAAGUCAAAAUCGUCCAAUCUUUGAGACAGUACACUUCUUGCUCAGUAAAUAUGCGAAUGAGAUCUAACCAAAGAGACGGACAAACAGAGAAACAUCAUGUACGCUGGAUUAAACUGCACUUUCAUGGAAUCUUCUUACUCAGAUUGGAGAUGAAGUUAUCAACAAUAAUUUAACAUGGGACGAUCAUACGCUGGAACUUAUGAAGCUGUUGUUUCUUCACAGUCGCAUGGAUCAAAGUACCCUAAAGAGAAAAGGAAAACAUAUUCAUAGUAAGUGACUAAAUAAUUCGACUAAAUAUUUCGAAUAUAAAGGUAUGAACUUUAUGUGUAUUGUUGGUAAGCUUACCGAGACAUCAGCUAGGACCAUCUCUAGGGUCUCACCAGAGUAGCUGGUAUAUUGCUGCCAGCUAUGGAUGAUUUUGACUUGGACCUUCCAAACAGUCUUGAAAGUUUUGAUGUCAGCAAGAUCAGUUACUUCUAAGUUGGCAGCCAUUUCGUAAGAGUAUGUGAGAAUCACUGGAAAAAUUUGUUGGAAGGCUUGCGCUUUAACGGAUUUCGUUAUUUGGGAUUACAUUCGGAUUUUGUUCGAGCAAUUAGAGGGAGAGCUGACAGCUAGGAUUUAUUGUAGUUGUCUCAUUUGGAUCACCCAAGUAUAGUUAUCGGAUCCGAAAUAGUUAAUUUCGGGUUAAUUUUAGUUUUAACCCGACCCGGAAGUAAUUUUGUACUCCUCUUUUACUAAUA